RNAcentral lists this ribosomal RNA (720 nucleotides) under Escherichia coli. Its description in RNAcentral is "bacterial SSU rRNA". It matches the Rfam family "Bacterial small subunit ribosomal RNA", at positions 22 to 731 of the family's 1533-position model. Lineage: Bacteria; Pseudomonadati; Pseudomonadota; Gammaproteobacteria; Enterobacterales; Enterobacteriaceae. The record is from RNAcentral.
GCUCAGAUUGAACGCUGGCGGCAGGCCUAACACAUGCAAGUCGAACGGUAACAGGAAGCAGCUUGCUGCUUCGCUGACGAGUGGCGGACGGGUGAGUAAUGUCUGGGAAACUGCCUGAUGGAGGGGGAUAACUACUGGAAACGGUAGCUAAUACCGCAUAACGUCGCAAGACCAAAGAGGGGGACCUUCGGGCCUCUUGCCAUCGGAUGUGCCCAGAUGGGAUUAGCUUGUUGGUGGGGUAACGGCUCACCAAGGCGACGAUCCCUAGCUGGUCUGAGAGGAUGACCAGCCACACUGGAACUGAGACACGGUCCAGACUCCUACGGGAGGCAGCAGUGGGGAAUAUUGCACAAUGGGCGCAAGCCUGAUGCAGCCAUGCCGCGUGUAUGAAGAAGGCCUUCGGGUUGUAAAGUACUUUCAGCGGGGAGGAAGGGAGUAAAGUUAAUACCUUUGCUCAUUGACGUUACCCGCAGAAGAAGCACCGGCUAACUCCGUGCCAGCAGCCGCGGUAAUACGGAGGGUGCAAGCGUUAAUCGGAAUUACUGGGCGUAAAGCGCACGCAGGCGGUUUGUUAAGUCAGAUGUGAAAUCCCCGGGCUCAACCUGGGAACUGCAUCUGAUACUGGCAAGCUUGAGUCUCGUAGAGGGGGGUAGAAUUCCAGGUGUAGCGGUGAAAUGCGUAGAGAUCUGGAGGAAUACCGGUGGCGAAGGCGGCCCCCUG